This 352-nucleotide RNase P RNA is filed under the name Pseudomonadales bacterium. RNAcentral's name for it is "RNase P RNA component class A". It matches the Rfam family "Bacterial RNase P class A". Rfam says of the family: Ribonuclease P (RNase P) is a ubiquitous endoribonuclease, found in archaea, bacteria and eukarya as well as chloroplasts and mitochondria. Its best characterised activity is the generation of mature 5'-ends of tRNAs by cleaving the 5'-leader elements of precursor-tRNAs. The record is from RNAcentral. Lineage: Bacteria; Pseudomonadati; Pseudomonadota; Gammaproteobacteria; Pseudomonadales.
CGAGUUAGCUGGACAGUCGCCGGUGGCCUGCCUUGGUAGGAAACGGGAGGAAAGUCCGGGCUCCAUAGGGCAGAGUGCCAGGUAACCCCUGGGGGGCGAGAGUCCACGGAAAGUGCAGCAGAAAGUAGACCGCCUCGCUAUGCGAGGUAAGGGUGAAAGGGUGUGGUAAGAGCGCACCGCGUGGGUGGUAACAUUCCACGGCUAGGUAAACCCCGCUCGGAGCAAGGCCAAAUAGGGAUUCAAUGGUGUGGUCCGCACCGAAUCCGGGUAGGCCGCUUGAGGGUUGUGGUGACGCACCCCCUAGAUGAAUGACUGUUCACGACAGAACCCGGCUUACAGGCUGACUCAGUGU